UACGUAGGGGGCAAGCGUUGUUCGGAAUUACUGGGCGUAAAGGGCUCGUAGGCGGCCAACUAAGUCAGACGUGAAAUCCCUCGGCUUAACCGGGGAACUGCGUCUGAUACUGGAUGGCUUGAGUUCGGGAGAGGGAUGCGGAAUUCCAGGUGUAGCGGUGAAAUGCGUAGAUAUCUGGAGGAACGCCGGUGGCGAAGGCGGCAUCCUGGACCGAUACUGACGCUGAGGAGCGAAAGCCAGGGGAGCAAACGGG
RNAcentral lists this ribosomal RNA (253 nucleotides) under uncultured bacterium. RNAcentral describes it as "partial 16S ribosomal RNA". It matches the Rfam family "Bacterial small subunit ribosomal RNA", at positions 524 to 776 of the family's 1533-position model. The record is from RNAcentral.